RNAcentral lists this unclassified non-coding RNA (295 nucleotides) under fungal sp. RNAcentral describes it as "partial internal transcribed spacer region". The stretch from base 1 to 46 matches the Rfam family "Eukaryotic small subunit ribosomal RNA", at positions 1786 to 1831 of the family's 1831-position model. The record is from RNAcentral. Lineage: Eukaryota; Fungi.
AAGUCGUAACAAGGUUUCCGUAGGUGAACCUGCGGAAGGAUCAUUACACUGUAAAAUUAUUUACAACUUAUUGGUUGAUUUCAGCUUAAUUUACCGGUUAGGUAUGUGCUACCUGAUGUGUUGAUCAAAAAUUCUUAUUCUAAGAAUUCUGCCAUUUCUUUUGACAUGGCUGGCUGUAAUUAACUUUAAAAACAGUACAAUUUAUUUUUUACCAUAAUUUUCUUAAUACCGAUUACACAAAAUUACACCUUUAAGCGGUGGAUACCUCGGCUAUCAUAACGAUGAAGAACGCAGC